This is a long non-coding RNA of Juglans regia (Persian walnut), 743 nucleotides long. RefSeq lists it as uncharacterized. Lineage: Eukaryota; Viridiplantae; Streptophyta; Magnoliopsida; Fagales; Juglandaceae. The record is from RefSeq and is a predicted model, not a curated record. The transcript has 3 exons.
UCUCUUUCAGUUUUCUGGUUUCUCCCGUGUCUCACUCUCACACAUUACCCACUUCCCUUCCCGAUUUCAUCUCUUCCUUUUCGUUGGGUCUGUUCGUGAGUCCGAAUGUAUGCCCUAGCAUUUUCUCAAUUUUCUUUUUCCUCACUUUUGGUUUUUCCCUCAAAAUAGGUUUCUCACUCUGUCGCAUCCCUCCACUGCUGCAAAUCACUGUGCUUCUCUCUCUCGCAUCCCUCUAUUGCUGCAGAUUAGUGCGUCUCUGUCUCUCGCGUCCCUCUUUUGCUCAAUAUUUGUUGGAGCUGCAGUUUUGGGUGGAACAAAAUUUCAGUCUUGGUUGCCGAGAGCUUCUCCAGUGGAUUUUCUUUCCCGUGCGUCUUGUGUUUGUCGUAGUGCAGUGAGUACGUCAUUCUACUCGGUUUCUCAUAAACGUUGAGUCUUCAACCAUGAUGUGGAGAGUCCAACUGAGGACCUGGAUUAGAAUGGUGAGCAUGAUUAAGCUGAGAAGAGGAUGUUAAAAGAAGGAAUGCUGAUGUCCUUUAGAUUUGAAGUCUUUAGAUUUAAUUAUAUCUUGGGUUUAGUAAGACUUAUGAAAUUAUCAAUUUGGUUGGUUAUGACUACUGGGAGAUUUUGAGCCCCUAAGUUUAUUUUUGUUGCGAUAACGACCUUGUGGAUUUUUCGAAGUGUUUAUUUAGAAUAUAUGAGAUUGAGCUUUGAUUAUAAAGUUUUGGAGAUUUAUUUUAGUUGUA